RNAcentral lists this transfer RNA (78 nucleotides) under Actinocatenispora sera. RNAcentral describes it as "tRNA-Glu". The record is from RNAcentral. Lineage: Bacteria; Bacillati; Actinomycetota; Actinomycetes; Micromonosporales; Micromonosporaceae.
CGGAUCGGUGCCGCGGCCGUGGGUGGCCGGCGCUUUCGGCGCCGCCGGUACCGCCGCGUUCCUGGCGCUGUGGUUCGU